ACAGCAGUAGCCGCGGGAAUACAGAGGGUGCGAGCGUUAAUCGGAUUUACUGGGCGUAAAGCGUGCGUAGGCGGCUUUUUAAGUCGGAUGUGAAAUCCCUGAGCUUAACUUAGGAAUUGCAUUCGAUACUGGGAAGCUAGAGUAUGGGAGAGGAUGGUAGAAUUCCAGGUGUAGCGGUGAAAUGCGUAGAGAUCUGGAGGAAUACCGAUGGCGAAGGCAGCCAUCUGGCCUAAUACUGACGCUGAGGUACGAAAGCAUGGGGAGCAAACAGGAUUAGAUACCCCUGUAGUCCCUGUCUCUAUACA
Molecule: ribosomal RNA, 305 nt
Filed under: uncultured bacterium
Lineage: Bacteria
Description: partial 16S ribosomal RNA
Rfam family: Bacterial small subunit ribosomal RNA
Source: RNAcentral